RNAcentral lists this ribosomal RNA (506 nucleotides) under uncultured bacterium. RNAcentral's name for it is "bacterial SSU rRNA". It matches the Rfam family "Bacterial small subunit ribosomal RNA", at positions 899 to 1397 of the family's 1533-position model. The record is from RNAcentral.
ACUCAAAGGAAUUGACGGGGACCCGCACAAGCAGCGGAGCAUGUGGUUUAAUUCGAAGCAACGCGAAAAACCUUACCAGGGCUUGACAUCCCUCUGCAGUCAGCUAGAGAUAGCCGACGUUAUCCUUCGGGGUACAGAGGUGACAGGUGGUGCAUGGUUGUCGUCAGCUCGUGUCGUGAGAUGUUGGGUUAAGUCCCGCAACGAGCGCAACCCUUAUUCUUAGUUGCCAGCAUUUAGGAUGGGCACUCUAAGGAGACUGCCGGGGAGAACUCGGAGGAAGGUGGGGAUGACGUCAAAUCAUCAUGCCCCUUAUGUCCUGGGCUACACACGUGCUACAAUGGCCUGUAACAGAGGGCAGCGAAGGCGUAAGCUGGAGCGAAUCCCAGAAAACAGGUCUCAGUUCGGAUUGUGGGCUGCAACCCGCCCACAUGAAGUCGGAGUUGCUAGUAAUCGCGAAUCAGAAUGUCGCGGUGAAUGCGUUCCCGGGUCUUGUACACACCGCCCGU